UGGGGAAUUUUACACAAUGGGGGAAACCCUGAUGUAGCGACACCGCGUGAGCGAAGAAGCCCCUUGGGGUGUAAAGCUCUGUCAGCAGGGACGAAAAAAAUGACGGUACCUGCAGAGGAAGCAUCGGCUAACUACGUGCCAGCAGCCGCGGUAAGACGUAGGAUGCAAGCGUUGUCCGGAUUUAUUGGGCGUAAAGAGUUCGUAGGCGGUUCGUUAAGUCUGGUGUAAAAGACUGGGGCUCAACCCUGGGAUCGCACUGGAUACUGGCGGACUAGAGUGAAGUAGAGGCAAGCGGAAUUCCCAGUGUAGCGGUGAAAUGCGUAGAUAUUGGGAAGAACACCGGUGGCGUAAGCGGCUUGCUGGGCUUUAACUGACGCUGAGGAACGAAAGCUAGGGGAGCAAAUGGGAUUAGAUACCCCGGUAGUCC
Molecule: ribosomal RNA, 427 nt
Filed under: uncultured bacterium
Lineage: Bacteria
Description: bacterial SSU rRNA
Rfam family: Bacterial small subunit ribosomal RNA
Source: RNAcentral